UCUGGUCCCAGGUCCCUGGUUGUGGUCCUGGUCUUGGUCUGAUCCUCACAGAGCGUCAGGUUUCAAUUUGACUGUGUUGUUAAAUUCAGGAGUUUCAUCAGAAGUUUGUUCAUUUCCUCAGUGAAACGUCAGGAAACAGACUGAACCUGUGACGAGAGCUUUAAUCUGUCUGCAGCUUUAAUCUGUCUGCAGAUUUAAUCUGUCUACAGUUUAAUCUGUCUACAGUUUAAUCUGACUACAGUUUAAUCUGUCUACAACUUUAAUCUACAUCUUUAAUCUGACUACAGUUUAAUCUGUCUACAGGUUUAAUCUGUCUAUAACUUUAAUCUACAUCUUUAAUCUGACUACAGUUUAAUCUGUCUGCAGCUUUAAUCUGACUACAGUUUAAUCUGUCUACAACUUUAAUCUACAUCUUUAAUCUGCCUACAGUUUAAUCUGUCUACAGCUUUAAUCUGACUACAGGUUUAAUCUGUCUACAGGUUUAAUCUGUCUACAACUUUAAUCUACAUCUUUAAUCUGCCUACAGUUUAAUCUGUCUACAGUUUAAUCUGUCUACAGGUUUAAUCUGUCUACAACUUUAAUCUACAUCUUUAAUCUGACUACAGUUUAAUCUGUCUGCAGCUUUAAUCUGACUACAGUUUAAUCUGUCUACAGGAGCAGGAAAAUAAAAAUAAGAUGACAGAGAUGAAUUCAGCUCCUGUCAACAGGACAGUGUUGAAAUCAUUAGUUUAAAACUGAAUUUCAUUUGUUCUUCACGUGAUCAGACUGAUGGCUUGUUUUUAUUGAUCAGUGACUGAAACUUUGUGUU
This is a long non-coding RNA of Lates calcarifer (barramundi perch), 808 nucleotides long. RefSeq lists it as uncharacterized. The record is from RefSeq and is a predicted model, not a curated record. The transcript is spliced from 3 exons. NCBI's taxonomy places the organism in Eukaryota, Metazoa, Chordata, Actinopteri, Centropomidae.